CUUCCCCUCUGUAUAUGGGUGUCUCACGUAUAGACACAGACACCCCAGAAGGCGCCCAGUGUCAUCUACAUCUUUAAUAUUAUGAAAGGCUAAUUUCUCUUAUUUCAAAAAGAAACUAAUUAUGAGUAGAAGCUCUUUCCUUACCUCCUACAGCUGUCCUGUACAUAUCCUGCUUACAAGACCGUUGCCAAAGCAACUGAAGACAGGAUUCGUUAGGGAGAGUACUGCUACAAGAAGCUACCAAUACAAAGCUUGGGAGCCAAACAUAAACUCAACAGAGACUUAAGGCCCUUUCAGCUGAAAAGACCAUUUAACAUCAUGGUACCCCAAAAGACGGAGGAAGGUGGUAAGCUUAAUAUCUUAGCCCAGUGGUGAGUACAAUGUUUCUUACACUAUCUGGUGAAUUUGAAUCAACUGGCCGUAUGGUUAAACAUAAAUUUCUAGCCCCACUCCCAGAGUUCCUGAUUCAAUGCAUCUAGAGUGAGAUCCAAGAAAUUGUAUUUCCAAUGGCUUUCCAGCAAAGCUGAUGCUGCUGACCUGGAGACCACACUUUGAGAACCUUGAUCCAUUGACCUUUAGGAGAUGGGCAGAAGAAACUCUCAUGAAUCAUAUGUAGAAGGACCAACCAGCAUAGAGGAAGAAAACCCAGACCACAGGAAGCAAGAUGGGAUGUUGUUGGGAUGGACGGAAUCAGCAUCACUCUAAAUAGAUGAGGAAGACUAGACACUGUGGACACGCCACAUGCCAAGGAGAAAGCCCUGGUAGAGAGGAGAGCAGAGGAUAAAAGCAAGGACUUGUGAUAGAGAGAAACCUUUGAGGAAGCGAGAAGAGGGGUACAGAGCACAGCUGAAGGGGUUCAGCUGAAUGAAGCUGGUGGAAGUGUGGCCCACAGACAUUCAUGGCAAUAACUUCACUUUCCUAGGGGCAGCAGAAAGGCCAGUGGGGGUAAGGACUACACAGGGCACUGGUGGAAACUGCGAAGAUUCAAGAUGGCCUGGAGAGGUGAGGCAGGUGCAAUUAACCAAGAGGAGGAGGCGUGUGAUGGGCAGAAAUGGUGCCCAGCUGAAAUCCCUGCUGUUGGUAGAAGGACCACAGAGUAGAGAAGCUGGAGACAUGGAGGCAGACUUUUUACCACUAGCGCCACCUGGAAAGGCCCAUAGGAAGUAGAAUCCUGCUAAGUCACUUCAGUCGUGUUCGACUCUGUGCAACCGCAUAGAUGGCAGGCCACAAGACUCCUCCGUCCCUGGGAUUCUCCAGGCAAGAACACUGGAGUGGGUUGCCAUUUCCUUCUCCAAUGCAUGAAAGUGAAAAGUUAAAGUGACGUUGCUCAGUCGUGUCCGACUCUUCGCGACCCCAUGGACUGCAGCCUACCAGGCUCCUCCGUCCAUGAGAUUUUCCAGGCAAGAGCACUGGAGUGGGGUGCCACUGAAGUAGAAUACUGUGCCCUAAAAAUGCAUGGCCACCAGGAACCUCAGAUUGUGACUUUAUUUGCAAAUAAGAUCUCUAAUUAAUUCAUUAAGCACCUCUAGAUUAAAUCAUCCUGAAUUUAGGGUGAGCUCUAAAUCCAGUGACCUGUGUCCUCAUAACGAGAGAAGAAGACACAGGGAGAGACCCAAGGAAGUCAAAUGAAGAUGGAGGCAGAGAUUGAAGCAAGGCAGCCAGAAGCCAGGGAACACCCAGAGCCACCAGAGGCUGGCAGAGGCAAAGAUGGAUUUUCCCCUAUGCAUCUUCAGAGAGCAUGCCCCUUCUGGCCUUGAUUUCAG
Long non-coding RNA from Bos indicus x Bos taurus (hybrid cattle), 1763 nucleotides. The record is from Ensembl. NCBI's taxonomy places the organism in Eukaryota, Metazoa, Chordata, Mammalia, Artiodactyla, Bovidae.